UGCAACAGGGUGCUCCCCUCACACGCAGGAGAGAGGAGGGACCCAGAAAAAUGGUGUUCAAGGCCUUAUAAAGACUUUUGAAAUUGCCACCCUGUAGAUCAAGACCACCCCCAGAAACAUCAUACCUACAUCACAGAAGGGGUGUAACCUAAGACCACCCCUCAGAUACAUCACACCUACAUCACAGAAGGGGUGUAACCUCAGACCACCCCUCAGAUACAUCAUACCUACAUCACAGAAAAGGCGGUCUAAAACAGAAAUUUGAAUGUUGUUUUUCUCCUGUCUGGCAGGUUACUUGAUUGGAUUGCCUGGGGAUCCUGGCCAGUCUUUUGUAGUGAUAAAUACUUAGUUCCUGGGCCAGGUCACAGGCUCACACCCUAUUCAUAUCUCAAAUGUGCCCUUAAGACAGGAUUUGUGAGGAAAGAGACAAUGGGGAGGCUUUUCCACUUUGACCUUGCAGAGAAAACAUUGGCUCAGUUUAGGAAUCAAAAUGGUUCCAGGUCGGUCUUCCUGUGCUGAUCUAUGUCCGUGCGGUUAUGAACAUUACCAUAUAUCUAAGACCUCAAAAUUCCUAUCACAAC
This 581-nucleotide long non-coding RNA is filed under the name Podarcis lilfordi (Lilford's wall lizard). The record is from RNAcentral. Lineage: Eukaryota; Metazoa; Chordata; Lepidosauria; Squamata; Lacertidae.